RNAcentral lists this ribosomal RNA (468 nucleotides) under uncultured bacterium. Its description in RNAcentral is "partial 16S ribosomal RNA". It matches the Rfam family "Bacterial small subunit ribosomal RNA", at positions 28 to 507 of the family's 1533-position model. The record is from RNAcentral.
GACGAACGCUGGCGGCGGGCUUAACACAUGCAAGUCGAACGGAAAGGCCCUGCUUUUUUGGUGUUCUCGAGUGGCAAACGGGUGAGUAACACGUAAGUAACCUGCCCUUGACUUUGGGAUAACUUCAGGAAACUGGGGCUAAUACCUGAUAGGAGCUCCUUCUGCAUGGUGGGGGUUGGAAAUUUUCGGCUGUUGGGGAUGGACUCGCGGCUUAUCAGCUUGUUGGUGGGGUAGUGGCUUACCAAGGCUUUGACGGGUCGCCGGCCUGAGAGGGUGACCGGCGACAAUGGGACUGAGAUAGGGCCCAGGCUCGUACGGGAGGCAACAGUGGGGAAUAUUGUACAAUGGGCGGAAGUCUGAUGCAGAAACGCCGCGUGUGGGAUGACGGCCUUCGGGUUGAAAAACGCUUUAGCCUGUGACGAAGCGUGAGUGACGGUAAUGGGUAAAGAAGCACCGGCUAACUACGUG